This is a long non-coding RNA of Gymnodraco acuticeps, 790 nucleotides long. RefSeq lists it as uncharacterized. Lineage: Eukaryota; Metazoa; Chordata; Actinopteri; Perciformes; Bathydraconidae. The record is from RefSeq and is a predicted model, not a curated record. The transcript is spliced from 2 exons.
GGGGGGUUUUCCUUUUCAGCAGGGGCCCACCCAGUGCCGAUCACGGACCCGCACGGGUAGGCGUCUGAAAUGGAGCGCUACAUCUGUAUGUUGUAUGAUGUCCUUUUUAUUUGCUGUUGUUUUCUGUUUUCAUGUGUAACCGACUUUGCUGCAGGUGUCCCUUGACAAAUAGAUCGAUGAUCUCAAUGGGAUUCAUCUGGUUAAAUAAAGGUUUGAAAUUAAAUGACAUUUGAUGUUAGAAAUAUGAAUAUAGACUAACAAUUAUAUUGUUUGUCUGUUGUCUGUAAACCUCCAUGUCUCCUUAAAUAUCCUUGCGUUAGCGUCUCACGUGUUGUGCUCUCUUCUGACCAUAUUUGGAAGUACAACUUCCUACAGGUUCAACCUCCACUGGCCGCGGCCGCAGCUGGACCCUUCUCGUUGGCUUGUCAUUCUGGCAAGACCCGCCAGACGAGCAGCAAAUACUUUGGUUGUUCAUCAUUUCUCCUGUUUUGCAGAUGAUGUCCCACUGACACCUCCAGGUCCAGCAGCACCGUGCCCCCCCCCCCCCCCCGCUCUGCUGAAAUACACAAUUAAACAUUUUCUAUGACCUAUUUUUUGUAUUAAUAAAAUUAAACUGAAGACAGUUGAAUGACCUAGAGAUAUCCUCUUAUUCCACUGCUUAUGUACACAUGUUGGAAAUAAUCUUUAACACCUCAGUAAAUGAAAUAAACAAUGUGUUUAACAAUUAAAAUGUAAUAUUGUAUUUUCAUCUAAUCACAAAGUAGAGGUAAGAAUAUAUCCAUCCUCUCUC